UACGAAGGGGGCUAGCGUUGCUCGGAAUUACUGGGCGUAAAGCGCACGUAGGCGGCUUUCUAAGUCGGGGGUGAAAUCCUGGAGCUCAACUCCAGAACUGCCUUCGAUACUGGAAAGCUCGAGUCCGGGAGAGGUGAGUGGAACUGCGAGUGUAGAGGUGAAAUUCGUAGAUAUUCGCAAGAACACCAGUGGCGAAGGCGGCUCACUGGCCCGUAACUGACGCUGAGGCACGAAAGCGUGGGGAGCAAACAGGG
This 254-nucleotide ribosomal RNA is filed under the name uncultured bacterium. RNAcentral describes it as "partial 16S ribosomal RNA". It matches the Rfam family "Bacterial small subunit ribosomal RNA", at positions 524 to 777 of the family's 1533-position model. The record is from RNAcentral.